GCACGGCAGUUAGCCGAUCCUUAUUCUUACGGUACCGUCAAGCUCCUACACGUAGGAGUGUUUCUUCCCGUACAAAAGCAGUUUACACACCAUAGAUGCGUCUUCCUGCACGCGGCAUGGCUGGAUCAGGCUUGCGCCCAUUGUCCAAUAUUCCUCA
RNAcentral lists this ribosomal RNA (157 nucleotides) under uncultured bacterium. RNAcentral's name for it is "partial 16S ribosomal RNA". The record is from RNAcentral.